RNAcentral lists this ribosomal RNA (464 nucleotides) under Vreelandella stevensii. Its description in RNAcentral is "partial 16S ribosomal RNA". It matches the Rfam family "Bacterial small subunit ribosomal RNA", at positions 338 to 795 of the family's 1533-position model. Lineage: Bacteria; Pseudomonadati; Pseudomonadota; Gammaproteobacteria; Oceanospirillales; Halomonadaceae. The record is from RNAcentral.
CCUACGGGCGGCUGCCGUGGGGAAUAUUGGACAAUGGGCGAAAGCCUGAUCCAGCCAUGCCGCGUGUGUGAAGAAGGCCUUCGGGUUGUAAAGCACUUUCAGUGGGGAAGAAAGCCUUGGGGCUAAUACCCUCGAGGAAGGACAUCACCCACAGAAGAAGCACCGGCUAACUCCGUGCCAGCAGCCGCGGUAAUACGGAGGGUGCGAGCGUUAAUCGGAAUUACUGGGCGUAAAGCGCGCGUAGGCGGUCUGAUAAGCCGGUUGUGAAAGCCCCGGGCUCAACCUGGGAACGGCAUCCGGAACUGUCAGGCUAGAGUGCAGGAGAGGAAGGUAGAAUUCCCGGUGUAGCGGUGAAAUGCGUAGAGAUCGGGAGGAAUACCAGUGGCGAAGGCGGCCUUCUGGACUGACACUGACGCUGAGGUGCGAAAGCGUGGGUAGCAAACAGGAUUAGAUACCCGAUAGUC